GGCUGCCAGGUCGAGGACGCGCCACGAGCUUAUGGAGUUGCAGGAGAAGCUCAAGUCCGUCAGAGCGGACGAGCGCAUUGACAGCGGAAACAGGGCACACCGCACACCAACGGACCCCACGAGCAGUCGGCUCACCUUGGCCACUACGACCUGCUGCACCCGCCGCGCCGCCACACCCCCGCCGUGCCCGCGCACGGCAGCCUCCGCUGAGCACAGCGCCAUACUGUCUAGCUCGGCGGCGAGCCUCGUCAUCCGCCACUCCACCACCACCUCCCACCGCGCAUGUGGUCAAUUUCCCGCCGGAAUCCAUGGGCCGCGGGCUUCCGCCGGAGCAAGAACGCGAGGGACCUCCUCCCCCAUACCCCUGACCCGCGACCUUCGUCUGCUGCUGCUCGCGCUUGGCCCACUCCAUCCGCUGCUGCUCGCGCUCGACCUCUCUGAUGUUUGCACGGUGUAAGGAACCAGAUCUCUCUCUCAAUAUCUAUUGGAUACAAGCUUUGAUUACAAGCAACACCAAUGGAGAUACAAGGUUUGGGGAUCAGGAAGAACAGAAGGAGGAGGACGAGAGGUAGGGGAAGAGAGCCGCCGUGCCAAAGCCG
This 599-nucleotide ribosomal RNA is filed under the name Triticum aestivum (bread wheat). RNAcentral describes it as "partial small subunit ribosomal RNA". Lineage: Eukaryota; Viridiplantae; Streptophyta; Magnoliopsida; Poales; Poaceae. The record is from RNAcentral.